This 254-nucleotide ribosomal RNA is filed under the name uncultured bacterium. Its description in RNAcentral is "partial 16S ribosomal RNA". It matches the Rfam family "Bacterial small subunit ribosomal RNA", at positions 524 to 776 of the family's 1533-position model. The record is from RNAcentral.
UACGUAGGCAGCGAGCGUUGUUCGGAGUUACUGGGCGUAAAGGGUGUGUAGGCGGUUCUUUAAGUUUGGUGUGAAAUCUCCCGGCUCAACCGGGAGGGUGCGCCGAAUACUGAGGGACUUGGAGUGCGGGAGAGGAAAGUGGAAUUCCUGGUGUAGCGGUGAAAUGCGCAGAUAUCAGGAAGAACACCCGUGGCGAAGGCGGCUCUCUGGGACGGUACUGACGCUGAGACGCGAAAGCGUGGGGAGCGAACAGG